Non-coding RNA from Danio rerio (zebrafish), 1397 nucleotides. The record is from RefSeq and is a predicted model, not a curated record. Lineage: Eukaryota; Metazoa; Chordata; Actinopteri; Cypriniformes; Danionidae.
GGGGAGUUGGUGACCCGCCCCGAGCGCUAUUCAGGGGCAGAGGUGACAGCAGUGUGCAGAGAAGCGGCUCUACAGGCGCUGCAGGAGAGCAUCUCAGCUGAACAGGUGAAGGACACACACUUCCAGAGCGCGCUGAACAUCAUCACACCCCGAAUCCCAGAGUCCCUCCUGCAGACCUACAGCAGAUACCAGCAGCAGCAGCGCACACACACAUACACACAACCAUAAACACACACACACACACACAACCAUCACACCCAGAAUCCCAGAGUCCCUUCUGCAGACCUAUAAACACACCACACACACACAACUACACACACAAAACACACACAACCAUCACACCCUGAAUCCCAGAGUCCCUCCUGCAGACCUACAGCAGAUACCAGCAGCAGCAGCGCACACACACAUACACACAACCAUAAACACACACACACACACAACCAUCACACACUGAAUCCCAGAGUCCCUUCUGCAGACCUAUAAACACACCACACACACACAACUACACACACAAAACACACACAACCAUCACACCCUGAAUCCCAGAGUUCCUCCUGCAGACCUAUAAACACACCACACACACAACCAUAAACAUACAACAAAAAUACACAACACACACACACAACCAUCACACCCUGAAUCCCAGAGUCCCUCCUGCAGACCUACAGCAGAUAACAUCAACAGCAGCGCACACACACACACACACACACACAACCAUCACACCCCGAAUCAGAGUCUCUACUGUAGCCCUACAGCAGCACACACACAAAUCAUGAAUGCACAAUUACACACACGCACAACGAACACACAACCAUAAAAACACAACUACACACUGAGAUCCAUAAACACAACUACAAUAGACACAACAGACUGCAGAUGUCUGACUGAUGUGUGUGUGACAGAGAGUGUGUGAGUGAAUGAGUGAGUGAAUGAGUGUGUAAAUGUGUGUUUGUGUGUGUGUGUGUGUGUGUGCGCGUGCGUGCAUGCGUGCGUGCAUGCGUGUGUGUCUUUGUGUGUGCGUGUGUGUGCGUCUGCGUGUGCACGUAUGUGUGUGUGUGUGUGUGAGAUGCUCAGAGACGCUCCUGCCGAGCAGCUCACAGGCCAACACACUGCGCCUGCUCUAUAAACAGCAGCUUCGUUCUCCCGUUUACACUCUUCUUCCAUAUCAAUAUUUCAGACAUUGUGAGAUUUUGGGUCUGAAUUCUGCUGAUGUAUAAUAAUGUUAGAUAAUGUUCAACACUUGACACCAUUGCUGCAUCAAACAAUGGAUAUUUGUUCAUCUGAAUGUGGAUUUUUCUGAAAGUCAGAUGAUUUUAUUACAUGAGUAGUGUGUAUGUUUUGUAAAGGUUUGGAGUGUUUUCAUGCGUCAUGAGUAAUAAAACAUGCAAGUUUAAUAC